RNAcentral lists this ribosomal RNA (919 nucleotides) under Escherichia coli. RNAcentral describes it as "bacterial LSU rRNA". It matches the Rfam family "Bacterial large subunit ribosomal RNA", at positions 683 to 1602 of the family's 2925-position model. Lineage: Bacteria; Pseudomonadati; Pseudomonadota; Gammaproteobacteria; Enterobacterales; Enterobacteriaceae. The record is from RNAcentral.
CUUAACUGGGCGUUAAGUUGCAGGGUAUAGACCCGAAACCCGGUGAUCUAGCCAUGGGCAGGUUGAAGGUUGGGUAACACUAACUGGAGGACCGAACCGACUAAUGUUGAAAAAUUAGCGGAUGACUUGUGGCUGGGGGGGAAAGGCCAAUCAAACCGGGAGAUAGCUGGUUCUCCCCGAAAGCUAUUUAGGUAGCGCCUCGUGAAUUCAUCUCCGGGGGUAGAGCACUGUUUCGGCAAGGGGGUCAUCCCGACUUACCAACCCGAUGCAAACUGCGAAUACCGGAGAAUGUUAUCACGGGAGACACACGGCGGGUGCUAACGUCCGUCGUGAAGAGGGAAACAACCCAGACCGCCAGCUAAGGUCCCAAAGUCAUGGUUAAGUGGGAAACGAUGUGGGAAGGCCCAGACAGCCAGGAUGUUGGCUUAGAAGCAGCCAUCAUUUAAAGAAAGCGUAAUAGCUCACUGGUCGAGUCGGCCUGCGCGGAAGAUGUAACGGGGCUAAACCAUGCACCGAAGCUGCGGCAGCGACGCUGAUGCGUUGUUGGGUAGGGGAGCGUUCUGUAAGCCUGCGAAGGUGUGCUGUGAGGCAUGCUGGAGGUAUCAGAAGUGCGAAUGCUGACAUAAGUAACGAUAAAGCGGGUGAAAAGCCCGCUCGCCGGAAGACCAAGGGUUCCUGUCCAACGUUAAUCGGGGCAGGGUGAGUCGACCCCUAAGGCGAGGCCGAAAGGCGUAGUCGAUGGGAAACAGGUUAAUAUUCCUGUACUUGGUGUUACUGCGAAGGGGGGACGGAGAAGGCUAUGUUGGCCGGGCGAUGGUUGUCCCGGUUUAAGCGUGUAGGCUGGUUUUCCAGGCAAAUCCGGAAAAUCAAGGCUGAGGCGUGAUGACGAGGCACUACGGUGCUGAAGCAACAAAUGCCC